AGUGACAAAAAAUUGGACGCCCCCUUAUUUGGCAUGUAAUAGUGUGUGGCGCCUCUCAUAAACCCUAAUCUCCACGCCCCCUAUAAAAACGAUCCAAAAGUUGGGCGCCAAGAGUAUGAGAAAAUUAUUUUUUUGAUACUUAGCCUCCUCUCUUCUCUUUUUUCUCAUGUUCUUCUUCAUCUCUAGAAGAUCUGUGAGAUCUGAAGAAGAAGAUACAUCAGCCAUCAAAGAGAAGAUUUCUGUAAGGGAGCUAGCACCUCGGG
This 263-nucleotide long non-coding RNA is filed under the name Elaeis guineensis (African oil palm). RNAcentral's name for it is "long non-coding RNA (EGUI_LNC041790)". Lineage: Eukaryota; Viridiplantae; Streptophyta; Magnoliopsida; Arecales; Arecaceae. The record is from RNAcentral.